UGUCAUAAGACCGUCUCCUCC
Molecule: non-coding RNA, 21 nt
Filed under: Caenorhabditis elegans
Lineage: Eukaryota; Metazoa; Nematoda; Chromadorea; Rhabditida; Rhabditidae
Source: RNAcentral